GGUUACUUCAAGUUAGAGGAGUCAAUGUUCAUAAGAAAGACACAACAAGCUGGGCUUCCGGCAGAUCUCAGAGGGGUUGGAUAGCGGGCAAGGACGCGCGCAAGGCAAGAUUCGUGGCUUUUGAGAAUAACCGACCUUGGAACUGAGGGCAAUCGGUGGCUGGGUCCAUUUCGCGAGCUGGGUGAAGGAACUGCGGCCGGUCCUGUCCCCGGCUGAUGUGUGUUCAGAGGUUGGGCGUGGGAACUCCGGCAGCUCUAGUCCCACCUGUGGCAGCGGCUCGGGUUUGUUACAUUUGUCAAGUGGUUACAUCGUCAAGUCAGGAGAUUCGCUACAUUCCCUCCGCCAACCGACGCCCAGGUAGCCGGACCCAUGACAGUGAAAGCAACGUCAGUUGCCGCGGCAACCGAGGUAAACACUCCGAGUGCAACAACAAGGAACUGCAGGUGUUUAAGAAGGAACUGCAGAUGCUGGAAAAUCGAAGGUACACAAAAAAGAUGGAGAAACUCAGCGGGUGCAGCAGCAUCGAUGGAGCGAAGGAAAAAGGCAACGUUU
Amblyraja radiata (thorny skate) is the source of this 552-nucleotide long non-coding RNA. RefSeq lists it as uncharacterized. The record is from RefSeq and is a predicted model, not a curated record. The transcript has 3 exons. NCBI's taxonomy places the organism in Eukaryota, Metazoa, Chordata, Chondrichthyes, Rajiformes, Rajidae.